CAAGCAGGCCCUGGGGAGACAGCACGGAUGGAGAGCAGCAGAGGCAAUCAGGGAAGUGUGGCAAUGAGAGCUUAAGAGAGAGUAUGCCUGAGUGUGGCAGGAUAUGCAAGCAAUAAUAAUGCUGCUGGUUAUCGCAGCCCUGUGUCCUCUGAUGGAGAGAGACUCCACCUUGGACGUGGUGGGGGAUGUGGAACAGGCCACACACUGUCCGCAUCAGC
RNAcentral lists this long non-coding RNA (218 nucleotides) under Dunaliella salina. RNAcentral's name for it is "long non-coding RNA (DSAL_LNC000481)". Lineage: Eukaryota; Viridiplantae; Chlorophyta; Chlorophyceae; Chlamydomonadales; Dunaliellaceae. The record is from RNAcentral.